UGCCGUCUGUGGGAAGCUGCCCUAACCCAUUCGCCUUCCCCGGCUUGGAAAAACAAUGUCCCAGUGAUGAACUGCCUUGCAGAUUUAUUUUGAUUUAAAUCGCCUUCCCUUCAACCCAAACCAGGGCACAGAAAGGUGGUUAGAAUGUUCCAGCACAAACUCAUAUGAGCACAGCAGCUAUUCCAGGGAAAAGCGUCCUCCCUACCUGCAAGAAGCUUCCUUUCAAGACACUGAUAUUAUCAAGAACGUGAAGGAAGAGUGGCAGCGGCCCACCUGAGGCACAGCAGAGCUGGGGGUGAUGAGAGAAAUUUAAGGGAAAUGGCCCCUGUUGGACACGGGCUUCCUUUGACUGUGUGGGAAUCCCACCUGGCCACAGACAAAGGGUAGAGGAAGCAAGUGCCCCAGGAGUCUUGAUCUCAGCCCAGCUCAGCAUGAGGAAAGCAGCAAGCAGGAAGAGUGAGUGUUCCUGGUACCACGGCUACCAGGCUCUUCCCAGUUUAGAGUGCUCAACAUUCUAAAACUUGACCAGCCAGCUGGGAGAUUUGGGUAUUCAGAUUUUUGGGUGCCUUAAGAUUCCACUGGCAGUAGAGAAUCACUAAAUGUCCAUUUCUGAAUGAAUUCUACUCCCCAGAGACAUUAACACACGAUGUACUUGGCUUGAAUCCUGUUUGAUUUAAGAAAAUCGGCCAAGAGUCCUUCAUAAGUUACUCACAUCUGAGGCACCAUCGGGCUGACCGUGGGACACUCCAGAUGGGGAGUGCUGUGUACCCUCUGCCUCUCCUGUGACCCGAACACCUCCUCUCUCUCUCCAUGGACGACGUUUUCAUCUUAUGGUCUGGGAAUGCUACCUGACCACCCUGGAGGGUCACCCAAGGAAAGAGUUCGUUCCAAAGACAGGUGCUCCUCUGAGUUCCUCUGGAAUCUGGCAAGGUGCCGAGCUUGGACGCAAGGCUUCCAUGAGGCUGUGAAGGAGGUUGCACGGAAACUGGUGGGGAUCUGAAAAGCUUUUAGUGGCCUCGCCACACACAGCACUUCAGAUGCUCAGGUGAUGAGCAACAUUUUCCAAACCCAGCUAGUGAGCACCCCACCUCCUCUGGCUUCCAGAACCUGGUGUGGAGGGCCAGGAGAGGCUUCGGGACUGAAGGGCAGAGCAGCAGACUCCGGGGCUCAUGUAGGAAGGAACAUGCCUUCAGCCAAAGAUUAUCCACGCUGCAUGGAGACUCUUGCUAAAUAUCACUGGUAAAUGCACAAUUAUGUCCCAUUUAGAGAUCUCUAGCAGAGUGUCUUGUGUUUGAUGGAUUUGUCCUGCAUUUAAUUAUAACUUCCUGCUAAAGCUCAGAUGUUUUCUUUCAGGGGUAAGACUGAAGAAAAGAAAUAAACUAUGCUACCUGCUCUUAAUAAAGAUCAUUUUAUUUUAAACAGGAGGCUGAAUAAAACCUUUUGACUCUGUAUUUCAGACAAAUGCAGUGGCUUAAUUUCAUUCAAUCAUUUACUGAGGAUCUGAAAUGCAUGCGGUUAGUGGUGAGAAUACUGACUCAGGGCUGUCCCUUCCUCUGGAGUUGACAGCCGACUGCGCAGGAAGGGAAGGUGAGGGUCAAACACACAGGUCAACAUCAGAAACAGCACUUCCGCCUUCCAUUGGCCCCGAU
This 1649-nucleotide long non-coding RNA is filed under the name Homo sapiens (human). RNAcentral describes it as "novel transcript". The record is from RNAcentral. Lineage: Eukaryota; Metazoa; Chordata; Mammalia; Primates; Hominidae.